UACGUAGGGGGCUAGCGUUGUCCGGAAUCAUUGGGCGUAAAGAGCGCGUAGGCGGCCCUGUAAGUCCGCUGUGAAAGUCAAGGGCUCAACCCUUGGAUGCCGGUGGAUACUGCAGGGCUAGAGUCCGGAAGAGGCGAGUGGAAUUCCUGGUGUAGCGGUGAAAUGCGCAGAUAUCAGGAGGAACACUGAUGGCGAAGGCAGCUCGCUGGGACGGUACUGACGCUGAGGCGCGAAAGCGUGGGGAGCAAACAGG
RNAcentral lists this ribosomal RNA (253 nucleotides) under uncultured bacterium. RNAcentral's name for it is "partial 16S ribosomal RNA". It matches the Rfam family "Bacterial small subunit ribosomal RNA", at positions 524 to 776 of the family's 1533-position model. The record is from RNAcentral.